UUAUUUGAAACGGGACACAACCCCCAAUACUGGGUUAAUCAAGAUAAAUAAUAAACAAAGUGGGCCUAAAAGCAGCCAUCUUCUGAAAAGCGUUAAAGCUUGACAUAUUAACAUCUACAAUUCCUUAAUUUUUACUUAACCCUUUAUCACUACUGAACUAUUUUAUACUCCUAUUAAAGUUAUUAUGCUAGAACUAGUAACAAGAAAUUGCCUUUUCUCCUAAAUGUAUGUUUGAACCAAAAUGGACUCCCCACUGGUGACUAACGCAAAUGAAAAUAUCAUAGUACCACAAGGCUAGAAAACCCUAUGAUUGUCUAACGUCAACCUUACACUAGAACAUUACAGGAAAGAUUAAAAGAGAAAGAAGGAACUCGGCAAAUCACAGUCCCGCCUGUUUACCAAAAACAUCGCCUCUUGCCCAAAUAUAAGAGGUCCAGCCUGCCCAGUGACAUAGUUUAACGGCCGCGGUACCCUAACCGUGCGAAGGUAGCAUAAUCACUUGUUCUUUAAAUAGGGACUCGUAUCAACGGCAUCACGAGGGCUGUACUGUCUCCUUUCUCCAAUCAGUGAAACUGAUCUCCCCGUGAAGAAGCGGGGAUAAACCUAUAAGACGAGAAGACCCCAUGGAGCUUUAAACCCAUCACGCACCCCCUACGCACCCAAAUCAACGUAGCCCAAGAGGCUUGUGUGCUGGUUUUAGGUUGGGGGGACCGCGGAGUAAAAUUUAACCUCCACGACAGACAGGUUAACACCCUUAUCCAUGAACCACAAUUCUAAGAGUCAACAAUUUGUUGUCUAAUGACCCAAUUAUUUGAUCAACGAACCAAGUUACCCUGGGGAUAACAGCGCAAUCUACUUCAAGAGCCCCUAUCGACAAGUAGGUUUACGACCUCGAUGUUGGAUCAGGGUAUCCUAGUGGUGCAGCCGCUACUAAAGGUUCGUUUGUUCAACGAUUAAAACCCU
This 963-nucleotide ribosomal RNA is filed under the name Amolops wenshanensis. RNAcentral describes it as "partial 16S ribosomal RNA". It matches the Rfam family "Bacterial large subunit ribosomal RNA", at positions 1006 to 2597 of the family's 2925-position model. The record is from RNAcentral. Lineage: Eukaryota; Metazoa; Chordata; Amphibia; Anura; Ranidae.